AUGUCAGAUGUCGCAUGCUCCCUUGCAAAUCGGACAGCUCUUUACACCCUGUGAUGUCCAUUUUCCGGAUAGAGCUGAGGCCACCCAACCAUUUCGGAAGUUCUGGCUGAGUAUUAUCUUCUAGCCACAAUGAUUUGAUAAAUGAGAGGUCUCCAAUUAUGUCUAAUGAGUUGCAUGACAGAUCGGUACAACUUAUUAUCCUUAACUCAGUGAUGGCAGGGAGGUGGUGAAGCAACAUCCACUGAUCCAAAGGCACCUUGCUGAAUUUCACUGUCAUGAUCACGUUUGUUAGUGAAAUAGAGGAGGACACAGUGGAUGCUCCCCUCUCUCCCCAUGAUGAUAAUACAUUAUCGCUGCUCUCUAUUUCCCAUCUCUUAGCUCCAGGUGGGCAUGGUUUCAGUCUUAAAUCUGGACAAUCACGUAUUAACAAUUCCACAAGGUUUGGGAACAUGAAUUUCUUGACACUACCCAUGUCAUAGGAGUACAUUGUCUCCCACAACUUGAGGUUUCGCAUACGGCAUAAGCAAAAUUUCCUCAAUUCAGGGAAGGCUCUUGCACCGCCACAGAAAUCCCCAUCAAUUAUCGUAAUGCUAUCCAUUACACCUAUAACUAGCUCUUGCAAGUUUGUUAAUUGGCCAAGUGGUGGUAAGCUGUUGCAUUUGCAUAUAUCCCACAAUUCAAUCUUGCUAAGACUUGGGAGAUAAAGUGUAAUGUCCAUAACCCAGGCAGGAAACCUCACACUGCUGUAACCUGUCAUAUUAAAUUCCCUUAAACUAAUUGGUGGCACAAGCUUUCCCAGUACUUCCACAUCCUCCACAGAACUCCCAGCAUCUCUAGUCCACUGUAGUUUCAAAUCGUUAAUAACCUGUCUUUUCAUAACCUUAGUUAUGUACAAAUCAUUAGAAUUUGUGUACCACCGUGACAUGAUGUUGAACAGGAAUUGGCUUAGCAUAUUGGAGCUCCAUGUCGGAUCAGUGCAACACGUGAUGUGUAAAGUACUCAGGGAAGGGAGGUCGUGAAACAACUUCCACUGAUCCAAAGGCGCUUUGUCAGAUCUGACUGUUACACUCACAUCCAUAGGUGCAGCAGAGGAAGUAGCACGAGUUUCACCCCAUAAUGAUAAUACAUUAUUGCUGUUCUCUAUCUCCCAUUUGUUUGCUCUAGGAAGGCAUGGUUCCAUUCUCAACUUUGGGCAAUCAUUUAUUGACAGCUCCUUAAGGUUAGGGAACAUGAAUUCUUUCUCAACAUCCUUGCCAUUGGAGUACAUCGUCUUCCAUGCUUCCAGAUUUUCCAUGUGGUAUAGACAAAAUCUCUUCAGUUGAGGGAAGGCUCUUGCGCCACCACAAAAAUCCUCUUCGAUGAUCGUAAUGCUGUCCAUUUCUCCAAUAAUUAGCUCUCUAAGGUUUUGUAAUUGACCUAAUGCAGGCAAGCUGUUGCAUUUACAUAUAUCCCACAGUUCAAUCUUGCUAAGUUCUGGUAGAUAAAGCUUUAUGUUGAUAAGCCAGGGCGGAAAGCUCACACUAUUGUAACCUGUCAUAUUAAAUUCCCUCAAGGUGCUUGGUGGAACAAGACUUGCCAACACUUCCACAUCCUCAAGAGACCUGCAAGCAUCACUGGUCCAUUGAAGUUUCAAAUCAUUAAUCCCCAGUUUUUCUAUCAGCUUUAUACUCUGGACCUCUUCUGCAGACUUUACAUUAUCAAGGCAAGUUAUGUGCAACUCAUUAGGAUUUGCAUACUGUAGAAGACCGAUGUUGCUGCUAGAUUGACCUUCAUCAGCUUGGACCACAAAAUGCGGCAACAAGUCAAAAAUCUUUGAUCGGGAGAGUGCAGAUUUUUCCAGUUUGCGGCACCCGGUGACAUUCAAGAUCUUCACACUAUCCAUUCUAACCAAACAUUCUGGAAGCCUCACUAGAUGCGGACAGCAAGAGAGGUCCAGUGUAUGCAGAUUCUUGAGGUUGCCAAUACUCUCAGGAACACUUACUAUGCUAUCAUUAUUAGACAAGUCCAGAUGCCGCAGAUUAGAAAGGGUACAUAUACGGUCAAUGAAACUGAAUAGCUCAUCUGAGCUCGGAUUCCAGAAGAUAGAUCGUGUGGUAUGUGAUAGACCUAAAUAACGGAGUCCAAUUAGAUUACCAAUGACCUCUGGCAGCCCCUCAAGAAAUUGACCCAAUACAUAACCUAUUUGCAUUGAUAAAUUCAAGUAUUGGAUGUUGGUGAGGCCACCCAAAGCUUUCGAUACACCUCUAAGCUGAUUGUUGUUUGAUAAAUCCAGAUAUUCCAACUUUUUGAGAUUCACAAAUGAUUUUGGGAGGUUAUCUAUAAAGUGACAAUUCGAGAUAUCAAGAUGCAUCAGACAUCUCAAGUCACCAAUUGACUCAGGCAAUGCUAACAUCCUGGACCAACUCAGGUUGAGGUAAAUUAGUUUCGAGAGCUUGGUGAUACAAUACGGGAUCGUUUGACUUUCAAUCUUGGGGGCAUUGAGAUACCUCAAUUUCACCAAUUCACUUAUGCAAGCUGGCAACUUGUAUAUGCGGCACUCGCUUAAGUCCAAGACUUGUAGGGAUGUUGCAGAUGAAAAUGCAUAGCCGUCUAGCUUAAUUUGGCUACAGUCAAGAUAAGUAGGAGAUUGCAGAUAGCAUGGCGGGACAUAUACCUUUACUUUAAUGUGAGCCAGCAUCUUCUUGUUCUUCUCUAAAUUACACCACUCUGCCAAUUCAGGGCAGUGGUAAAUAGCUAGUCCUUUAAGCUUGGUAAGCUUUUGUAUGCUCUGUGGCAAAGAGUUGAUACCCCUACAAUAUCGGAUCUGAAGUUUCUUGAGAGCAGUAAGGUCACCCAACCAUUCUGGCAGCACUUUUAUUCUUGGACAGUCUAUCAAAGAUAGCUCCUGGAGGGAUGUCAGAUGUCGCACGCUCCCUUGCAAAACAGACAGCUCUUUACACCCUGUGAUGUCCAUUUUCCGGAUAGAGGUGAGGCCACCCAACCAUUUCGGAAGUUCUGGCUGCGUAUUAUCUUCUAGCCACGAUGAUUUGAUAAAUGAGAGGUCUCCAAUUAUGUCUAAUGAGUUGCAUGACAGAUCGGUACAACUUAUUAUCCUUAACUCAGUGAAGGCAGGGAGGUGGUGAAGCAACAUCCACUGAUCCAAAGGCACCUUGCUUAAUUUCACUGUCACAGUCACGUUUGUUAGUGA
RNAcentral lists this long non-coding RNA (3187 nucleotides) under Setaria italica (foxtail millet). RNAcentral describes it as "long non-coding RNA (SITA_LNC005826)". Lineage: Eukaryota; Viridiplantae; Streptophyta; Magnoliopsida; Poales; Poaceae. The record is from RNAcentral.